UUCCCUACGCAGAAUAAUCCAUUCCCGUGUGAUUCACGCCAACUGUUGGUGUGUUGGCUUUCGUAACCGCCAAAAAUCCAAGUACUCUUUGCAGUGUGUCUCAUUAGGAAACGAACUUCCAGGAUCAAGACUGGUGGUCAUACGGUCGGGACGCCAGUUUGCUACGCGCGGCUUUUCACAUUCCUUGUAUGAUAGUGUUUCUCCUACUCAAAGUAAUCUCCAAGCUCAAUACGCUUUAAUUGUGCCGUCGUUGAUUAACGAUGAUGAAAUGAUUUUCGAGUGUUGGAUGGCUUAUGAAUUAUGGGUUUAAUAUGAAUUGAACCUUGCGGGAAUUGUUUUGGAGAAUUUGAAGCCAUAAAAGUUUAAGGCUAUGGCAAAAAGAAUAUGGCUCACGACCUGUUAAAAAGUCUGAAUGACCAUUCUUGUUUCUUGCAUUUAUCUUUUUAAAUGUCUUCCUUCCUGACAGGUGUCUCUAGCAAUAACCUUCAUCAUAAGAUUACACGGAAUUGCAGCAGCAUCCUUAGUAGUUCGACGUUGUGAAUCCUUGGAGUUUGUAGAGAGAACAGCCCUCUUUAUAGAAGAACAAAGCGAAGUGUUUAGGAUUUGUGGCUUAGUCGUUGAUUGCCUAUAUGUAGCUACUCUUUCCAAUUGCAUGUGGUUUGUAUAUCAAAAUGACAAUUUCCGAUCCACCAUGAAUCCUAUGCUUUGAUUUUCUCGUGCAAUGAUGGAUACUAGACUGCCCUUGGUAGCUUAAUCUUUCUUUGCCAUUCACUUGGACUGGAACGACAACACCACAUCAACCAAUUUGUACAUGUCAGCUGUCCUUGCUUGGGAUUGGGUUGGAUGAUCAUUCUGUUUGUUUUCAAACUUGAGCAAUCUCCAAUGGGUAGCACACGUUAUAGAACCCCAUUAGCCUCCACUUCUCAUUCAAUCGCGUCCAUAUCAACUGGUGGAAAAUAUAGCCGUCAACACUUGAAAUUCAAUGAUUUGUGAAAUCCUGAAAGUCUUAGUCCGUGUCAAAUAUGUAUUUCCUUUCUUCUACGGCAGUUAAUCUCCUUCUAUAUGAGCGUCUUCGCACCUCCUUUCAUUACCCACAACGGAAGUUUGCUACCUCCCUAUGUUUCUCCUGUAUUUGAUUAGGCACAUUCUUUUCUGUUGUCAGAAAUGAUCAUCAUCAGUACAUCGAAUCUGUAAAUUUUUGUAGAUGUCUAUUACCCCUGUUCUUACCAAAGCUACUGCUUAUACCCAUUUAGUCAUGUAGUCAGUUGCAGCUAACAAAUACUUGACGCCCCCAAGUGCAGCUGGAAACGAACAUACAAUAUUCAGUCCCUACUUGUUGAACGACCAUAGGCUCACAACCAGAUGCAACUCACUCUGCUAGUCUCUUUAUAAGAGGGCCAUGAAGCUGACAAGCCAAGCAUUUUCUUAUAUAGUCCUUGCGUCACUCUGCAUAUAAGGCCAAGAGUAGUAUUGGGAUAAAAGCUUAUGCGCUAGCCUCCUGCCUUCAAAAUGAUCCACACAGCACCCAUCAUGUGCCUCAGCAAACGAUUGCUUCCCUUCCUCUCAAGUCACAAGGAAGAUGAAUUUGUAGACGUGUGUACCGCCUCCAUACUCACCAAAGAUAGCACAUACUACAUCAAUCCAUUUGGUGUUGUAGUCAAUUGUAGCUAGCAAGUAGUACACGCCCCCAGGUGCAGUGUAGUCUUUAGUCCAGAGACCACUGCUUCAUACUCCGAUUGAUUGUUUGAAGCUAUAAAUCUUAGUCGGAUGGCUUUUUUGACUUGUAUUUCUCUUGGGAAACUAGUACACAAGCAACGGCUGUACCAUCCGCCUUUGUUAAUCCGUGAAAAGUGUUGGUUCCCAUGGCAGGGGAGAAGCUUCAAGAUGAGAACAUAGAACUGCUGGCUCGGAAAGGCUUUUUUCCCACGUCUAGGUGAAAUUUUAGUGCUCACGGCAGGGGCGAGGCUUCAGGAACAAAUGAGAGGGCUACCUAAUACAAAGUCUUCUACUCCGUUUGCCUUCUUAAUUUAAUGUAUGGUACUCGACGAAAAGGUAAUACGACCAGCAUUCUCACAGUAUAACAUGAAUGGAAAACAACCAAAAAAAAUCGAGAUGGCACAAAAAGGACCACUAAACAAUUGAGUUAGAUCUUAAGUAAGUUAGGAUGACUCCACUCCUAUUUUGUUUUCCUUCGAAGUAGGAGUAUUGGUAGAUUAUAGUAUAUUUUUAUACAAAUAACGGUGUGAUAUAUAUGAAUGAUCAUAGUACCGUACCAAGUAAUAAUUAGACAAAUGGAAAGGAACGAGCAAACCAGUAUGUUGUGAUACACCAGUUCGUUGUUGGUAGAUCACGAGUUUUUUGCUCGUUCCCCUUAGUCGGCGCCAACAGAUGUUGGUGCAAAAAUAUUCACUCCAACACUCUCCGAGAUGCGUAUAGGUGCAUUAAAUCUCUGUCGUUGAUCUGAUUCCUCCAAAGAUGCUGAAGAAAUUGUGAGUGAUGUUGGCCGAUUGAUCUCCAACUGUUGAUUUAACUCCACAAGAAAUAGUUGAUGAUAGUGUAAUUGAUGUUGAAUAGUGGGGGUACCUGCAAAAGUCCGGGAGAGUUUCUUAGCAGGUGUAUUGUGUGGAAAAGGAUUAGAAAAUCUCUACCUUUGAGUUGAGAUUUAGCCUCUAUUUAUAGGCAGGGAGUAGGUCUAUCUCUAGGGUUUUCAUAGUUAUCUUCAAUAACUUCCCUUACUUGUACAAAUCCAAGAAAAC
This is a long non-coding RNA of Papaver somniferum (opium poppy), 2756 nucleotides long. RefSeq lists it as uncharacterized. NCBI's taxonomy places the organism in Eukaryota, Viridiplantae, Streptophyta, Magnoliopsida, Ranunculales, Papaveraceae. The transcript has 5 exons. The record is from RefSeq and is a predicted model, not a curated record.